Molecule: long non-coding RNA, 645 nt
Organism: Armigeres subalbatus
Lineage: Eukaryota; Metazoa; Arthropoda; Insecta; Diptera; Culicidae
Exons: 4
Source: RefSeq, a predicted model, not a curated record
UCGCAAACCGGUUAGCCAUUUUGAUUUUGUUGUUUGCAAUUUGCAUGCUGAGCAUUUUUUAAGUUUCAAAUAUUAAUAUAUCUACGUACCUAUUUAACUAUUAUAUUUAAACUAUUUAUUGUGAAACGCCUCUGGAUAUUUAGUUUCAUCUGAUUUGAAGUCUGGCCUGGAACAUUCAUUGGAAAGUUGGAAAAAGAAUUUAGCGAUUUGUCACGAAAACGGCUAGUUGAUACCCAGGAAGUGUCUGAAAUCCUCGAUUAAAGAGACGAGGUGGAAUUCAGUUAGUGCACUAUGAGUAGCGCUCUAAUGGAAGGAGAGUGUUCUCCAGUAAGUGUGAGCAGGAGUGUCUUAACGUAGUAUCGGUUGGCCAAGGCAGUUACCGUUAUUGACUCCUCGAGGCAUGGCAGUGGAGUGUUAGAGUGAGCAUCCAGGUCUACCGUUUUUCUUCACCGGACACCGGACGGUAAUUUUACAGAGUAAAUUUCCAAUCAGCGCAUGAAGAUCAUUGAAGACAACUACCUGUAAACUUGCCUGUAAAUACCCCGAGAAAUAUCUCGAGAAAAUUGACGAUCAAGUUGCCGUAUAUAGCUGGAUGGCAAAACCGUCAUGUAUCACUGCGCGACCUAGAUAAGAAUUAAUAGUGUU